RNAcentral lists this ribosomal RNA (471 nucleotides) under uncultured Alphaproteobacteria bacterium. RNAcentral describes it as "bacterial SSU rRNA". It matches the Rfam family "Bacterial small subunit ribosomal RNA", at positions 11 to 528 of the family's 1533-position model. The record is from RNAcentral. Lineage: Bacteria; Pseudomonadati; Pseudomonadota; Alphaproteobacteria.
GUUUGAUCCUGGCUCAGGACGAACGCUGGCGGCAGGCUUAACACAUGCAAGUCGAACGCUCUCUUCGGAGAGAGUGGCAGACGGGUGAGUAACGCGUGGGAAUCUACCCAGUACUACGGAACUACAGUUAGAAAUGACUGCUAAUACCGUAUACGCCCUCCGGGGGAAAGAUUUAUCGGUAUUGGAUGAGCCCGCGUUUGAUUAGCUAGUUGGUGAGGUAAUGGCUCACCAAGGCGACGAUCAAUAGCUGGUCUGAGAGGAUGAUCAGCCACACUGGGACUGAGACACGGCCCAGACUCCUACGGGAGGCAGCAGUGGGGAAUAUUGGACAAUGGGCGAAAGCCUGAUCCAGCCAUGCCGCGUGUGUGAUGAAGGCCCUAGGGUUGUAAAGCACUUUCAACGGUGAAGAUAAUGACGGUAACCGUAGAAGAAGCUCCGGCUAACUUCGUGCCAGCAGCCGCGGUAAUAAGG